GAGUAAAUGUGGCGUUUCAUACGCCGUAGUCUCCAUCCUCGGUCCUCAGAGUAGUGGUGCGCAUUUGCAUUUCAUCUUCAUGUUUUUUUUUCUUUUGCAGUUUCAAUCUUAUUUAUUCUUUUGUAUGAGUAUGACAUGGCAGGGAAGAGCACGUUGCUUAAUCAUCUCUUCGGCACCAAGUUUAAGAUGAUGGAUUAUUCAGUAGGGAGGCAUGUCUACAACCUCACUCUAAUGGAAUUUGAGAUUUGGAUUCGGAAAGUCUAAAAACGGUUUCAUAUUUUUCCAGGUCUCAAACCACCAUGGGGAUGUGGAUGGCUAAAGCUGCUGGACGAUGCUGCUUUUGAAAAGCAGAUUGCUCUUUUCGCUUUGGCCAUCUCCGAUGUAGUCAUCAUAAACAUGUGGUGUCAUGAUAUUGGCCGUGAUCAAGCUGCCAGCUCGCCUCUUCUGAAAAUUGUAUUCCAGGUCAUGAUGCGAUUGUUUAGCCCUCGGAGAACAACUCUGUUGUUCAUCAUACGGGAUAAAACAAGGGUUGGUACCUAUACUUAAUCAUGUUUCCAUUUUGGAUUGUGAUGGUUUUUAUCUGCUCUUUGAUUUUUCUUUUUAUCCAGACUCCUCCGAGAUAUAUUGAAAAUCGCUUGAGAGAAGAUGUGCAGAAGGUGAGGGUUGUUGCAUUUCCUUUGGAAAAUCGACUUUGUAAAGUUGUUCCUGGUUUCAUUUAGUAUUUUCCUGCAG
This is a long non-coding RNA of Syzygium oleosum, 732 nucleotides long. RefSeq lists it as uncharacterized. Lineage: Eukaryota; Viridiplantae; Streptophyta; Magnoliopsida; Myrtales; Myrtaceae. The transcript is spliced from 4 exons. The record is from RefSeq and is a predicted model, not a curated record.